Non-coding RNA from Peromyscus maniculatus bairdii (prairie deer mouse), 1478 nucleotides. The record is from RefSeq and is a predicted model, not a curated record. NCBI's taxonomy places the organism in Eukaryota, Metazoa, Chordata, Mammalia, Rodentia, Cricetidae.
CACUCUCUCUCUCUCUCUCUCUCUCUCUCUCUCUCUCUCUCUCUCUCUCUCUCUUUCUCUCUCUUAUGCAGGCAGCACGCACGCACGCACACACGCACACAGAUCUUUUAUGGAGCAUGAAAGACAGGGGUUAGGACGGCAUUACCACCUAAAGACGGCAGACACAAAUCCCCCUGCCUCACCUUUGGGCCAAUCUUCCUAACAUGCCGCGUUCCGCGCAAGCCUGCUUUCCUACCCCAGCCGAGACAAUCGCAGCUCCCUUCCCAUUUCUGACAACUGCACCAUAGGCGUCCAAAAGCAGAAAGUCAGGCCACAGGUGAGCAGGCCUUGGUCCUGUCUUCCAUGCAGAACCUGUGCCUGGAGACUUCUGGCUUCCUGGAAUUGUCUAUACUCAGACUCUCAACAGUAUGCUCCAGACACGCUUCUCCUCCUCCUCUUCUUCUUCCUCCUCUUUACAUGUGGGUGCACGUGGAUGUAACCAUCCAUGUGGGGUCCAGAGGACAAUCGCAGGUGCCUUCCCUUGGGAGUCACCCAGCUUGUUUUUUUAGACAGCAUCUCUCAAGAAACCUGAACUUGAAGUUCGCUGACUAAGAGCACGUGCAAGAGUCAUCGAGGACAGAAGAGUGGAGACCUCCUCAUCUAGUCCUCCACUGAACAGAGUGCUGAGGGAAAAGGGUCUGCUCCAGAGCACUCAACAAGCCAGUCUCUAUGUGGAUCCCAAGCCCGGCUCACCUCUAGAGUUGAUCUUUCUGGACCUUCUGCUCUGGGCAGUAUGAGCUCUCUAAGACGUUAGCCCAAGGAGCCCCUCCUCUUCAGGUUGAGAAUCUGUGCGAUGGAAAGUGUUCCUUAAGUGCUCCGCCUGCUAAGGAUGAACAAGCCUCUGAUUGGAGGUGAGUGGUCUGAUGGAGCCCUGCAUUUAUUUCUCAGUGUGAGGCUGGCUGUGGUCAGGGUGUGAUCCCAGCCUGCCCUUCACCUGCUCUGCAGAUUGGAAGGGGGAUGCUGUGUCUCUGGGGUGCCGAAGGACACACUGAAUAGCAGCUGCUUGUGGAAGGGGCUGGGCUCCUGAGUUAGGGGAGGAUCAUUACCCUAACACAGGGGGUGCGGGGCAAAUGGAUCAAUCCUCUCUCCUCCAAGUACUCAUCUGUGCAGGAGACCAGGAGGCCAUUGCCACCUCCCAGCUGGCUUCUGCCUCUCCUCCAGUGAGAGGAUGCCCUGAAGGCUCUGUGACUUCCUUCCCUCUGUCCAGUGCUGGACAUUUCUCCAUGUCUCCCUUUGUACCUUCCCCCACCUCCGUAUCCUCUGUCCACCGGAAACACUACCAGAGACCAAUGGUCAGCCCUGGAAACAUAUAUACAAGUAACGUUACACAGAUUGAGAGGGCUGUGUGAGGAAUACAUCUGGAUAUACAUAUGUGUACAUAUACACAUAAGUAUGUGAAUGUAACAACAAUCCGUGAAAAAAGAGACCACGAAUUUGAC